AGAAGCUGUCCUACUGUGAACACCCCAGAUCUCUGUCUGAUCUCAGAAACUAAGCAGGAGUAGACCUGCUCAGAACUCGGAUGGAAGACCACCUGGGACUACUGAGUGCUGUAGCUU
This 117-nucleotide ribosomal RNA is filed under the name Otolemur garnettii (small-eared galago). Lineage: Eukaryota; Metazoa; Chordata; Mammalia; Primates; Galagidae. The record is from RNAcentral.